UGAUUUUCCUAGACCACUGGACACAAGACUCAUACUCAGACUGACUAAUUGUCACUGACUGAUUGACAGACAAUUGGCUCAUUGAUUUAUUAAUUGGAACACAAUGAUCACCGUGAAGGCUGCGCUCUUGCUGUUUAUUGUCUGCCGCUGUACAGUCUCGCCUGUGGUUCCCACAGCCCUGUCUCAUGCCCUCGGGGAUGACACCCUGCCUGCUCUGGACAGUCUGCAGUGGGCGGCUCAGGACAGCUGCACGGACUGCACACAGAUCCUGAAACUCUUCUUAGACCUCAUGUCCAAUGCGGAUGCACAGGUGAGCAAGACAUCCACAC
Molecule: long non-coding RNA, 329 nt
Filed under: Scleropages formosus (Asian bonytongue)
Lineage: Eukaryota; Metazoa; Chordata; Actinopteri; Osteoglossiformes; Osteoglossidae
Description: lncRNA (ENSSFOG00015028321.1)
Source: RNAcentral